UACGGGGGGAGCAAGCGUUGUUCGGAUUUACUGGGCGUAAAGGGCGCGGUAGGCGGUCGUGACAAGUCACUUGUGAAAUCUCCGGGCUUAACUCGGAACGGUCAAGUGAUACUGUCGGACUAGAGUACAGAAGGGGCAACUGGAAUUCUCGGUGUAGCGGUGAAAUGCGUAGAUAUCGAGAGGAACACCUGCGGCGAAGGCGGGUUGCUGGGCUGAUACUGACGCUGAGGCGCGAAAGCCAGGGGAGCAAACGGG
This 255-nucleotide ribosomal RNA is filed under the name uncultured bacterium. RNAcentral describes it as "partial 16S ribosomal RNA". It matches the Rfam family "Bacterial small subunit ribosomal RNA", at positions 524 to 776 of the family's 1533-position model. The record is from RNAcentral.